GGUUAAGCGACUAAGCGUACACGGUGGAUGCCCUGGCAGUCAGAGGCGAUGAAGGACGUGCUAAUCUGCGAUAAGCGUCGGUAAGGUGAUAUGAACCGUUAUAACCGGCGAUUUCCGAAUGGGGAAACCCAGUGUGUUUCGACACACUAUCAUUAACUGAAUCCAUAGGUUAAUGAGGCGAACCGGGGGAACUGAAACAUCUAAGUACCCCGAGGAAAAGAAAUCAACCGAGAUUCCCCCAGUAGCGGCGAGCGAACGGGGAGCAGCCCAGAGCCUGAAUCAGUGUGUGUGUUAGUGGAAGCGUCUGGAAAGGCGUGCGAUACAGGGUGACAGCCCCGUACACAAAAAUGCACAUGCUGUGAGCUCGAUGAGUAGGGCGGGACACGUGGUAUCCUGUCUGAAUAUGGGGGGACCAUCCUCCAAGGCUAAAUACUCCUGACUGACCGAUAGUGAACCAGUACCGUGAGGGAAAGGCGAAAAGAACCCCGGCGAGGGGAGUGAAAAAGAACCUGAAACCGUGUACGUACAAGCAGUGGGAGCACGCUUAGGCGUGUGACUGCGUACCUUUUGUAUAAUGGGUCAGCGACUUAUAUUCUGUAGCAAGGUUAACCGAAUAGGGGAGCCGAAGGGAAACCGAGUCUUAACUGGGCGUUAAGUUGCAGGGUAUAGACCCGAAACCCGGUGAUCUAGCCAUGGGCAGGUUGAAGGUUGGGUAACACUAACUGGAGGACCGAACCGACUAAUGUUGAAAAAUUAGCGGAUGACUUGUGGCUGGGGGUGAAAGGCCAAUCAAACCGGGAGAUAGCUGGUUCUCCCCGAAAGCUAUUUAGGUAGCGCCUCGUGAAUUCAUCUCCGGGGGUAGAGCACUGUUUCGGCAAGGGGGUCAUCCCGACUUACCAACCCGAUGCAAACUGCGAAUACCGGAGAAUGUUAUCACGGGAGACACACGGCGGGUGCUAACGUCCGUCGUGAAGAGGGAAACAACCCAGACCGCCAGCUAAGGUCCCAAAGUCAUGGUUAAGUGGGAAACGAUGUGGGAAGGCCCAGACAGCCAGGAUGUUGGCUUAGAAGCAGCCAUCAUUUAAAGAAAGCGUAAUAGCUCACUGGUCGAGUCGGCCUGCGCGGAAGAUGUAACGGGGCUAAACCAUGCACCGAAGCUGCGGCAGCGACGCUGAUGCGUUGUUGGGUAGGGGAGCGUUCUGUAAGCCUGCGAAGGUGUGCUGUGAGGCAUGCUGGAGGUAUCAGAAGUGCGAAUGCUGACAUAAGUAACGAUAAAGCGGGUGAAAAGCCCGCUCGCCGGAAGACCAAGGGUUCCUGUCCAACGUUAAUCGGGGCAGGGUGAGUCGACCCCUAAGGCGAGGCCGAAAGGCGUAGUCGAUGGGAAACAGGUUAAUAUUCCUGUACUUGGUGUUACUGCGAAGGGGGACGGAGAAGGCUAUGUUGGCCGGGCGACGGUUGUCCCGGUUUAAGCGUGUAGGCUGGUUUUCCAGGCAAAUCCGGAAAAUCAAGGCUGAGGCGUGAUGACGAGGCACUACGGUGCUGAAGCAACAAAUGCCCUGCUUCCAGGAAAAGCCUCUAAGCAUCAGGUAACAUCAAAUCGUACCCCAAACCGACACAGGUGGUCAGGUAGAGAAUACCAAGGCGCUUGAGAGAACUCGGGUGAAGGAACUAGGCAAAAUGGUGCCGUAACUUCGGGAGAAGGCACGCUGAUAUGUAGGUGAAGCGACUUGCUCGUGGAGCUGAAAUCAGUCGAAGAUACCAGCUGGCUGCAACUGUUUAUUAAAAACACAGCACUGUGCAAACACGAAAGUGGACGUAUACGGUGUGACGCCUGCCCGGUGCCGGAAGGUUAAUUGAUGGGGUCAGCGCAAGCGAAGCUCUUGAUCGAAGCCCCGGUAAACGGCGGCCGUAACUAUAACGGUCCUAAGGUAGCGAAAUUCCUUGUCGGGUAAGUUCCGACCUGCACGAAUGGCGUAAUGAUGGCCAGGCUGUCUCCACCCGAGACUCAGUGAAAUUGAACUCGCUGUGAAGAUGCAGUGUACCCGCGGCAAGACGGAAAGACCCCGUGAACCUUUACUAUAGCUUGACACUGAACAUUGAGCCUUGAUGUGUAGGAUAGGUGGGAGGCUUUGAAGUGUGGACGCCAGUCUGCAUGGAGCCGACCUUGAAAUACCACCCUUUAAUGUUUGAUGUUCUAACGUUGACCCGUGAUCCGGGUUGCGGACAGUGUCUGGUGGGUAGUUUGACUGGGGCGGUCUCCUCCUAAAGAGUAACGGAGGAGCACGAAGGUUGGCUAAUCCUGGUCGGACAUCAGGAGGUUAGUGCAAUGGCAUAAGCCAGCUUGACUGCGAGCGUGACGGCGCGAGCAGGUGCGAAAGCAGGUCAUAGUGAUCCGGUGGUUCUGAAUGGAAGGGCCAUCGCUCAACGGAUAAAAGGUACUCCGGGGAUAACAGGCUGAUACCGCCCAAGAGUUCAUAUCGACGGCGGUGUUUGGCACCUCGAUGUCGGCUCAUCACAUCCUGGGGCUGAAGUAGGUCCCAAGGGUAUGGCUGUUCGCCAUUUAAAGUGGUACGCGAGCUGGGUUUAGAACGUCGUGAGACAGUUCGGUCCCUAUCUGCCGUGGGCGCUGGAGAACUGAGGGGGGCUGCUCCUAGUACGAGAGGACCGGAGUGGACGCAUCACUGGUGUUCGGGUUGUCAUGCCAAUGGCACUGCCCGGUAGCUAAAUGCGGAAGAGAUAAGUGCUGAAAGCAUCUAAGCACGAAACUUGCCCCGAGAUGAGUUCUCCCUGACUCCUUGAGAGUCCUGAAGGAACGUUGAAGACGACGACGUUGAUAGGCCGGGUGUGUAAGCGCAGCGAUGCGUUGAGCUAACCGGUACUAAUGAACCGUGAGGCUUAACCUU
RNAcentral lists this ribosomal RNA (2903 nucleotides) under Escherichia coli. Its description in RNAcentral is "23S ribosomal RNA". It matches the Rfam family "Bacterial large subunit ribosomal RNA". The record is from RNAcentral. Lineage: Bacteria; Pseudomonadati; Pseudomonadota; Gammaproteobacteria; Enterobacterales; Enterobacteriaceae.